Molecule: non-coding RNA, 1715 nt
Organism: Macaca mulatta (Rhesus monkey)
Lineage: Eukaryota; Metazoa; Chordata; Mammalia; Primates; Cercopithecidae
Source: RefSeq, a predicted model, not a curated record
AGCAUUCUCUUGCAUUCAACCUGGGGAACGAGACAGCACCUGGUUUCACACUCACAAGGCAUGAGACUGUGUGCAGCCAGAACGACCAGCAGGGGGUGCAAAGGCCACUCCAGGCACCUGCUGGCCUCAGAGAAAUCAGCAAAUCAGGAAAUCAGGAAGCCCACUCCUGCUAUCCUUUCUCUGCAAGGAAAUGUGCCAGGGGACUGCAGCCCAGAGAGUCUGCAGUAGAGGACUCAUGAAGCAGCUGGAAAUCUAGGAGCAGAAGCCCAGCAUAAUGAUCUCUGAAAGCCUGGAUGCACGGAUUCCUCUCUUACUUCCCAAAACCGUGGGGUAGAAAUGGGAGUAUCAGCAUGCUGCACAGACUUCCACAGAUGUCCAGGGAACUGAAUUUCCAGAAGUUAUCAUCUAUGUUCUUUCCCAACCCCCGCUUCAGUUUACAUAUCGCAGGCGUGUUUGUUGAAAAGCAGUCAGCUAGAAAAUAAGAGUGGCUAUAACCUGUGCUGCCCAGUGAUCAGGGAAAGAGAGCGGAUGAAACUUCGAUGACUUUCUGUUAGUCUGAUGAAUAUCCAUGCCAAAUGUAAGAUUAGUUGAAGGCCUUAUCGCUUCCCACCAAAAUGUUCCUUCACUUGCUGUAGAGUACAUUGAAAUGUAAAGUUAUGGGUUUGUUUAACAGUUUAAUUUGUCAGUGGGCAUUCAGCUCUUCUAUUUGUGUUUUUACUUUGAGCUUAGUAGGAGCAGACAAAUAGAGGUGACCCCUGUUUUCUUCCCGAAGCCAUUUUUCAGGGCAGAAGUGCCUUAACCACUUCAUUGAGAAACCACCUUUGCAUGCAGUACCCUGAGUUGGCUUCAGCACGCCAAGCUCCACACCCUGGGAAACACCCUGCUUUCCAGGUUGUUUUAAUCCCAGUGCUCAUGAGUAAGGACAUGUCCUGUCUCUUGUCCAUGAAAAUACUCCCACAAAACGAAGUCACACCCAGGAUCUGUUAACGGAGAUACUGAGUGGGUGAAGGAGACUCAUUCCCUGAUGCAAUUCAGGUCACACAAAGUAAAAAAGAAAACAAAAACCCUUUUCUGUUGAGGAUACAGAUGCGAAGAAAAUGGAAAAUGCCUUUCAAAAUGCACAAGCCUAGUUUUCUAAUUAUGUUUCGGUGAACAUGCCGGUGAACUUACCUGUGUGGCUUGGUAUUGAGGUGGGUUUUCAGCUACUUCUCCACCAAAUCCUUUGAAAAGCAGCAGUGGCAGAAACAAAUAACCCAAUUAAAAACAAUAAUAGCAACAAUAAAAAAAGAAAAGAUAAAGAAGAAAGCAGUGGUUUUCUUUGGCUAGCUGAGGAACUUUCUACUAGGUGUUAGCAAUUGCUUUGCAAACUUUUUUUUUUUUUUUCAGCAAAUGCUUCAUUCUCUAGACAAAUUUCAAGAAUUUUCAAGCAUCAGCAGACUCAAUUCUUCACCCCCAUUUUAACAAAGAAACAGCUGAAUGCCUGUGUUUAACAGUCAAGCCCAUUAAACCUGUGAUUUGUACGUUGCUCACACUCUUUAUUCCUAUUAGCAAGAGAUGCUAGGAGAACUUCUUGGUCAUCAAUUUGAUGAGUUCUGAGGGGAAUGUGGGUUUAGGUUGUGGCGUUCAUAUACAUAGACAUCUGGCUGAACACAUGUACCUAAGAGUCCUCUAGUUUUCCUUGCUCUACUGAAAAUAAAGACAGAAUGUGUAAAAUA